Molecule: long non-coding RNA, 295 nt
Filed under: Manihot esculenta (cassava)
Lineage: Eukaryota; Viridiplantae; Streptophyta; Magnoliopsida; Malpighiales; Euphorbiaceae
Description: long non-coding RNA (MESC_LNC009860)
Source: RNAcentral
CGAGAUUCAUUGCUGUUGCCAAGUUUUGGGGGUUUUGUAAUUCCACAUCCAUCCUGAUGGGGUCAUUUAACCCAGCAGUGAAGAGGUCAACUUGCUAAUUAGGUCGAAUUGUAGUAGCUCUCGCUAGUAGAGAUUGGAACUGGCAUUAGUAGUCUUUUACAGUGCCCUUUUGUUUUAAAUUGACAAGCGCACCCAAAGGAUUGCCACGCACUGGAGAACCAAAGCGUAAGUUGCAGUAUUAUUUGAAGUUGCCCCAAUUAAUUCCAGGUUCUUCUUGCUGGAGUUUUAGCACCAC